RNAcentral lists this ribosomal RNA (407 nucleotides) under uncultured bacterium. Its description in RNAcentral is "partial 16S ribosomal RNA". It matches the Rfam family "Bacterial small subunit ribosomal RNA", at positions 30 to 526 of the family's 1533-position model. The record is from RNAcentral.
AUUGAACGCUGGCGGCAGGCCUAACACAUGCAAGUCGAGCGGAGCGGCGGACGGGUGAGUAAUGCCUAGGAAUCUGCCUGGUAGCGGGGGAUAACGUCCGGAAACGGGCGCUAAUACCGCAUACUAUCAGAUGAGCCUAGGUCGGUUUGGCUAGUUGGGGGGGUAAAGGCCUACCCGGGCGACGAUCCGUAACUGGUCUGAGAGGAAGAUCAGUCAAACUGGAACUGGGACACGGUCCAGACUCCUACGGGAGGCAGCAGGGGGGAAUAUUGGACAAUGGGCGAAGGCCUGAUCCAGCCAUGCCGCGGGUGUGAGGAGGGUCUUCGGAUUUAAAAGCACUUUAAGUUGGGAGGCGUUACCAGCAGAAUAAGCACCGGCUAACUUCGUGCCAGCAGCCGCGGUAAUAC